This 309-nucleotide ribosomal RNA is filed under the name Escherichia coli. Its description in RNAcentral is "partial 16S ribosomal RNA". It matches the Rfam family "Bacterial small subunit ribosomal RNA", at positions 1235 to 1533 of the family's 1533-position model. The record is from RNAcentral. Lineage: Bacteria; Pseudomonadati; Pseudomonadota; Gammaproteobacteria; Enterobacterales; Enterobacteriaceae.
GCAUACAAAGAGAAGCGACCUCGCGAGAGCAAGCGAACCUCAUAAAGUGCGUCGUAGUCCGGAUUGGAGUCUGCAACUCGACUCCAUGAAGUCGGAAUCGCUAGUAAUCGUGGAUCAGAAUGCCACGGUGAAUACGUUCCCGGGCCUUGUACACACCGCCCGUCACACCAUGGGAGUGGGUUGCAAAAGAAGUAGGUAGCUUAACCUUCGGGAGGGCGCUUACCACUUUGUGAUUCAUGACUGGGGUGAAGUCGUAACAAGGUAACCGUAGGGGAACCUGCGGUUGGAUCACCUCCUUACCUUAAAGAA